GCAAGUUCGAACGAGAAAGUGGAGCUUGCUUCACGAAGUAAAGUGGCAGACGGGUGAGUAACACGUGAACAACCUACCCUCGAGCUGGGGAAUAACACCGCGAAAGCGGUGCUAAUACCGCAUAAUAUCUCUGAACCGCAUGGUUUUGAGAUCAAAAGCGCAAGUUGCUUGAGGAGGGGUUCGCGCCUGAUUAGCUUGUUGGUGAGGUAACGGCUCACCAAGGCUGCGAUCAGUAGCCGGCCUGAGAGGGUGAACGGCCACACUGGAACUGAGACACGGUCCAGACUCCUACGGGAGGCAGCAGUGGGGAAUUUUGCGCAAUGGGCGAAAGCCUGACGCAGCAACGCCGCGUGGAGGAUGAAGGCCCUCGGGUCGUAAACUCCUGUCAGUGGGGACGAAUGCUUCGUAAGAAGUUUGACUGUACCCAUUGAGGAAGCCACGGCUAACUCCGUGCCAGCAGCCGCGGUAAUACGGAGGUGGCAAGCGUUGUUCGGAAUUACUGGGCGUAAAGGGCGCGUAGGCUGUUUUACAAGUCAGAUGUGAAAUCCCCGAGCUUAACUUGGGAAUUGCAUCUGAAACUGUUGAACUUGAGUCCUGGAGGGGGUAGCGGAAUUCCCAGUGUAGCGGUGAAAUGCGUANAUAUUGGGGAGGAACACCUGCGGCGAAGGCGGCUACCUGGAACAGUGACUGACGCUGAGGCGCGAAA
This 706-nucleotide ribosomal RNA is filed under the name uncultured Acidobacteriota bacterium. Its description in RNAcentral is "bacterial SSU rRNA". It matches the Rfam family "Bacterial small subunit ribosomal RNA", at positions 57 to 758 of the family's 1533-position model. The record is from RNAcentral. Lineage: Bacteria; Pseudomonadati; Acidobacteriota.